UACAGAGGUCCCGAGCGUUGUUCGGAUUCACUGGGCGUAAAGGGUGCGUAGGUGGUGGGGUAAGUCGGAUGUGAAAGCUCGGAGCUCAACUCCGAAAUGGCAUUGGAAACUACCCUGCUGGAGGUUUGGAGGGGGGACUGGAAUACUUGGUGUAGCAGUGAAAUGCGUAGAUAUCAAGUGGAACACCAGUGGCGAAGGCGAGUCCCUGGACAAAACCUGACACUGAGGCACGAAAGCCAGGGGAGCAAACAGG
This 253-nucleotide ribosomal RNA is filed under the name uncultured bacterium. Its description in RNAcentral is "partial 16S ribosomal RNA". It matches the Rfam family "Bacterial small subunit ribosomal RNA", at positions 524 to 776 of the family's 1533-position model. The record is from RNAcentral.